CCCGCGCGCACUCUCUCUCUCUCUCUCUCUCUCUCUCUCUCUCUCUCUCUCUCUCUCUCUCUUUCUCUCUUGCUUUCUCUCUCGCCCUUGCUGCACCACGUGACUGCAGAGAGAAGCUCUAACACUGCGCGCGCGAAGGAAGGAGGCAGCAGCGCGAGAGAGAGAUGGAGGGAUGGAGUCCAUGCACACGAGAGAGAUAAAGAAAGCCAGCGCAAGUCAGACGCCAAGUGCUAGGAACAGACAGCAUGAGGAUGUAGACGGAGGGGAAGGAGGAAGAGGAGGAGAAAAGGGAUGCAUGAAGAGCUGAUCGUGAGCCGAAGCGCCAGCCAGCAACUCUCACUCUCUCUCUCUCUCUCUCUCUCUCUCUCUCUCUCUCUCUCUCUCUCUCUCUCUCUCUCUCUCCCUCUCUCCGGUAACUGGAACUGCUUGAGUGGAGGAAGCGUAAGGAAGCACAUGAGGAGUGGGCAGUGUGAAGGUGGCCAAUACAAGCCAAGCCCACCCCCCGCUACGACCAGCACUAAUGCAGAAGAUGGACUGGUGAGGGCAUUGUGGACUUCAUCAUUGGAGAACAGAUACACCUGCUGGACAUGAGCAAGAUGAGGUGCUUCACUGUUACAGUGCUCUGUCUGAAGGGACUGGACUGUUUGGUGGACAGAAGUCAUGGUCUUGAAGCUUGGAGGGUUGCCCAUGCAGAGUGGUGAGGAGGAGCUGGAGACUUCUCUAAGGACACUACUAGAGUCACACACACUCAAACCCCUUCAACAAGCCUGAGCCUCAGUUUUCUUGUAUGAGGCUGAAACUCUCCAGCCAAACAGGACCGAAGAUCCUGGACCCAGCAACCAGAGGAAAUGAUAUUCUUAGUCUUACAAUUAAAGGAUAUUUCUUUGAAGUUGAUUCGAAAGCAGAAAUGUCCCUUAAUUGUUGGGUUAAGUAUAUUCCCACGCGCCGAGGACAUCAGCACCAUGGACAGCUCCCCGAACUGAUUCUGGACCUGAGAGGUUCAGGGGGCGAGUUUACCUAUCCAUCACACCAUAUGCACGUUCCUCACUACUUUCAUCACCAUUAUGUAUCCAUCUUUUCUGCAUCAGUCAUGAGAGAACAAUAUGGUCUUGUAAUAUCCAUAGACAACAUUCAUUCAGUAUGAAUUGGUUUGAUCAAUAUAUAGACGAGCGCAGGCUUCAGCACGUCAUCAAUAUUCGCCCUGAUCUCCAGGGAUUCCAUUAAGGGGUCAAUAAUGCGAUUUAUCAAGCGCUGUUGCUGUCCUGGGAGCAGCUUAGUCAAACAUAAUGGACUGUCCAGAGCUGGUCAUGCAGUGUGAAGCAAGAGCUCAGAAAUGGGGAAGAGGGGAGUGGGGAACCGUGUGCAGUGAAGAGUCUGGCAAGGUUUAUAGAAAGGGAAAGAGCGCCCCCCCUGGGCUGUGGCAACAAGUGGUUGCUGCAGAUUGCAGGAGAGAGUUGAGGAAAAAGAGUCAAGAUGUUUUAAGCUGUGUAAACUCAAAUAAGGUAUUCAGUGAGGAAAAUGGAGAUUACAAAGGUUAAAAAGUCUACAUCAUAGCCAUGGUAUCGGUCUCCUCCAGCUCAAUACAUCUUAUCAGGCUGCUGCGUCGGUCAAACAUACAGCGCCUCACUGUCUGCUCUGAUGCCUGUCCACUAAUGUCUCUGAAUUCACAAAGAUUUGGGUUGUUUAAUGUUAAAGAUGGCACGAUACUGCUUUUUAUUUUCAGAGCACUUAAGACGAACAUCUAAAGGUAGCCUUUUGUGCUCACUCUACCCAAACACUGUAUAACCCCAGAGAAGGACAUGCAUAUGAUGUGUGUGCCAUUUCAGGUUAGAUUUGUUACAGCAUCAGAUGAUACCUGCAGUACCGAUACCUGGUGCAAUAUCUAAUUAGAAAACCUUUUGCGACAUCAUAAAUUCUCCUUUAACCUCUUAACAAUCCAGUUUAUUUCAUAUAAAGGCCUAUUAUUCAGUAACAACUGGGAAGUCACUGCAAACCAAUGGGGCUAUUAUAUGUUAUCGAAGUAUGCAAUAAAACGAUGGGCUAGCCAGCUUGCCCAUGGCUUGUUAAGGGGCUCAAUUUUACCGCAAUUUAAUUAUUAUUAAUUAAAAAAUUAACACAGCCUGACAGAAAAUGAUAUUCCUAAUACAUAAGUAUGAAUAUGAGCUUAUAUUCAUGCUUGCAUAUGGUUCUAGUAGGCUUCUCACAGCAGCCACUCAUAUUCAUGGAUUUGACUCUCAUUUUCACUGGGAAACAGUAGCGAAAGAUUUUCAUAGAUCUAUUUCUCAUUGUUACUUUGAUAGGACUCUAAUAUUGUAUAUUAAUAGUAAAAUCUUAUCCUCUGUUCA
Molecule: long non-coding RNA, 2345 nt
Organism: Pygocentrus nattereri (red-bellied piranha)
Lineage: Eukaryota; Metazoa; Chordata; Actinopteri; Characiformes; Serrasalmidae
Exons: 2
Source: RefSeq, a predicted model, not a curated record